This 24-nucleotide non-coding RNA is filed under the name Arabidopsis thaliana (thale cress). Lineage: Eukaryota; Viridiplantae; Streptophyta; Magnoliopsida; Brassicales; Brassicaceae. The record is from RNAcentral.
UACAUGUGCUGAACAUCCUCCAGU